This 2872-nucleotide unclassified non-coding RNA is filed under the name Yarrowia lipolytica. Lineage: Eukaryota; Fungi; Ascomycota; Dipodascomycetes; Dipodascales. The record is from RNAcentral.
GCUCGCAAACUUUCUGCCAGCGGGCCCUCUUGUUCUUAUGAAACCAUGAGAUUAUUUCAUUAGGAAAGAGGUUGUGAUACACGGUGGCUGUGUGUCUCCAAUCUCAAUCAUCAGCAGCUCUGAACCUAUGAGACAGAACGUCCAAACCUACCUUGAUGGGUAAACGUUUGUCCCGUUUGUCCCGUUUGUCCCUGGUGACUCAGCAACCAGACAGAACUUGUCACGAUUCAGUACACGCAGUCCAUGGCUGCCCAAACCCGGACGUCAACCGUGAAAUCUUCCGAUUAUCCACGCCAAGAAGCCCUGCAGCCCCCACAACAACAGUACAAGUACUUUUGUCUCUCCAUCCAGGUGGAGAUUUCUUUUUUGUCCUGACCCCUACACAAAGUUACGCAUUUCGGUCGCUGAUUGCCGAUUGCCGGCUUGAUGAGCCCUCUAAUUGUCCGAACAAGCUGCAACAUCAGCAUUAGACAGUACGGAGCGGGUCGUACCUAAUGGCCAGCCCUGCCAGCUAUCGUUAGAAAGAGAGCCAAUCCCUUGUCUACAGCCAACUGGGCUCCGGCUCCCGGAGGUUUUCCUUGUUUAACCAAAUACCGACGCCGAUUACGCCUACGAGUGUUUAUGGCAGUCAGUUUUGGUUAACUCAACUCCGUGGGGGCUCUCAUGAGCUGUGCUAGAGCGGCUAACCGCUGAAGCUGCGCAUCUGGCGAUUGCACCCUUGAUCCACAGAAAGCGUGCGUGCGAACGGCUUGGAUGCUACAGAGCGAAACCCCCUUAGCACGUCGGUCCUCGGACGUCUGCGAUGUGCAAUCGGUGGAAAGGUGACGACACAAAGAAAGGAGAUCGGAUUGUUGUCGGCAGCGGACUCCUACGACCAAUAAGCGAAGAUUUCCAUGCAUCCCGCAGGUGGUAAGCGGUGGAGGAGGGGGGCGAGGGGCGUUCUUCAUGUGCGACGUUGCAUGUGGGUUGUCCCAAAGUUGACUUGUGUACAUACUCACAAGUAGCGAAAGCUCGUUUGAUCCCAGCUGUGGGGGACACAAUUACCAUUCUGGAUUACACACUCCACCGUCUGCAUUCCAAACGGUCUCGAACGGUCAUGUCUGACCAAUCCCUGAUUGGUGUGUGUCUGAUACCCUUCUGGUUCCAUCUUGCUGUUUGCUACUAGAGCAAGGUAGGGAGCCCACCAACACCACCAGGAGACGUUAAUCUUCUGCUAAUUCGGUAUAUGAUGAAUAAUUGAAACAGAACAACCAUAGGAGAUAUCGAUCACUUCCUUGUACACGAUCCCUUUGGUAAAAGGCUGCCAGCUUGGGUGUUUCCGAUCUACAUUCAAACCUCCUGGCCAUGAAAACUUACUUGGGAGCUACAGGGUCACAGACUUUCAUAAUCAUUUCAUAUUGCAGACAGGGUGGGGGAGGUAUGGCCAGGCGGACUUGUGCUUGAACAGGAAUCUUCCUGAGCUCCAGAGCAAGUGGUCAACACCAAACAAGUGGUUUUCAUCGAUCUACAGAGUCCCUACAGAGUCCCUGGAUCCGAGACCUCUUUGUUAUCAUUCAGGUUGUCAAUCUCGCGAAAGAUUAGCAUUGUUUUGUUAUGCCUACAAGCAACGCACAAGCCGUGAGCCGAACACAGAGCCGGCUGCAACCUAUAAUCCCAAAAUGGCAGUCUGCUUGUUCCUGUCCUUCAUCGAUUACAUCUUCUCUACUGGACGGGCUUGCAUGCGACUUUAUGCAAUGGAUCGAGAACCGGAAUUUCUGUUCCUAUGAAACUCCUCCGCGGCCGUCUCGAUCUCCACGAUCCAUUCCAGCCUCUGAGAGCAGAUAAUUCUGUCGACACUUUCGGACGCCGAACCAGUGCUCGACACCUUGCACCAAAAGACAAAGUAGCAAACUACUUGUACUACUCGAAUGAAAGGGUAAGAUUCACGCUAAGGGCUUAGCAUGGCUGACCACCUGGUUAUGAUAAAUACACCGCAUUAGUGCAACGUUGAUUUAUUGCAUCGAACUCAGACACACGGAUUACUGCUGCCAAUGUAGCGUUGUCCUCCUGGCGAUGGCGAUAGAUGGAUGAGAUAUUUUCGGCGACAGUGGAUGGUGCAUGGUGGGAUAACAUUUCAUCUCCAUUGACUAUUCAAGGCCACAUUCAGACAUCUACGCACUUCAUAAGCUUGGAGUGCAUUGAUGCUAAUCAUCCAUAGUGGAAGACAAGCCACCUUAUAGCAUUAGACCCGCUUGGCAUAUGAUGGACAUGCCCUGUAAAUGAGGUGCAGGUUUCGAUCACUCAUAAUGUGAGAAGGCACCACAAAGAAGAUUUAGUGCGGUUCACCUGGUUGACAGUUUAGACUGCUCGUCUUAGCACCACGGAACUGCCCUACUUUCUCUCUUUAUCCAGUACCUGCCUUGAUUAGGGCUUGAUCCGUAGUGUUUAGGAAACAAGGGUUCGUGUCACUAGCUCGUGGAUGACGUAGAAUUGGCACUAGCGCGACACUAGCAUGGCACUAGAAGGCUCCAAGCCGUUCCAUUAGUGCGCUAGCGUCGAUUGCCACAGCUGCUUGCUACCGUUGUCAUCGAGUCCAAGUGCCAAAAAAUAUCCAGGUCCACAAACUCUGAAACUUUCCACGAUGUUUUGUUGCACAGGGCUUCCGGGGUGACAGAAAGUGAGGAGCCUCACGAUAUGGGCUGUAGAGAGUUGUCGCACUCUGUACACUGGAGCCGCAGCGAGUCCCUUACACACAUCUGGACUCUUUUUGGAGGCAAAGAAUGGACUGUUUCCGAUUAGCUAGGUGUGCAGAUUCGGUAGCCGGCAGCACCACCAAACAGAAUUCGAACUAUGCCAUGGCUUGAGAAAAAAAUAAAACCUAUAGGCCCCUGAG